GUACUAUUAGUACAUACUAGUAGUACUUGUACUACUAGUACUAGUACUAGUAGUCCAUAGUAAUCGUAUAUACUAGUAGUACG
This 83-nucleotide transfer RNA is filed under the name Amborella trichopoda. RNAcentral describes it as "tRNA AMTR_s00189t00274610". The record is from RNAcentral. Lineage: Eukaryota; Viridiplantae; Streptophyta; Magnoliopsida; Amborellales; Amborellaceae.